AUUGAACGCUGGCGGCAUGCCUUACACAUGCAAGUCGAACGGCAGCACGGGUGCUUGCACCUGGUGGCGAGUGGCGAACGGGUGAGUAAUACAUCGGAACAUGUCCUGUAGUGGGGGAUAGCCCGGCGAAAGCCGGAUUAAUACCGCAUACGAUCUACGGAUGAAAGCGGGGGACCUUCGGGCCUCGCGCUAUAGGGUUGGCCGAUGGCUGAUUAGCUAGUUGGUGGGGUAAAGGCCUACCAAGGCGACGAUCAGUAGCUGGUCUGAGAGGACGACCAGCCACACUGGGACUGAGACACGGCCCAGACUCCUACGGGAGGCAGCAGUGGGGAAUUUUGGACAAUGGGCGAAAGCCUGAUCCAGCAAUGCCGCGUGUGUGAAGAAGGCCUUCGGGUUGUAAAGCACUUUUGUCCGGAAAGAAAUCCUUGGCCCUAAUACGGUCGGGGGAUGACGGUACCGGAAGAAUAAGCACCGGCUAACUACGUA
Molecule: ribosomal RNA, 486 nt
Filed under: uncultured bacterium
Lineage: Bacteria
Description: partial 16S ribosomal RNA
Rfam family: Bacterial small subunit ribosomal RNA
Source: RNAcentral